Long non-coding RNA from Cannabis sativa, 1748 nucleotides. RefSeq lists it as uncharacterized. NCBI's taxonomy places the organism in Eukaryota, Viridiplantae, Streptophyta, Magnoliopsida, Rosales, Cannabaceae. The record is from RefSeq and is a predicted model, not a curated record. The transcript is spliced from 4 exons.
CUCUCCCUAGCAUUGUCAUUUUUGUUCAGGUCAAGUUCGCACAAAAUUACUCUAACAUUGUUGUUUUUAUUCAGGUAUAUGUAUAUAUAUAUUUUAAAAUUAAAAAACCUAGUUGAAAAAUAUUGGAUUGAAUCGAGAAAGUAUUCUCAUUUUCACGCUUAUUUGAAUCAUUUGAGUUCUAAUCUCUGUCGUGGAGUUCCUAGGUUAGAAAUCAUUUGUUUAACUGAUAUGGUAGAGUGAUGGAUUUGCCGAGCAUGAUAUUUUUUAUCUAGUUUUGUUGUUAGGUAUAAUUUUUUAUUUAUAUGAUCAAAGAUCAAAUUUGGUAUUGGUAUUGUCAAUAUAUUGUUGUGUCAAAUUGAUAGCUAAGAACAAUUUGUGCUUUAUCAAUUUAAUGUUUAAAAUUUAAAAAGGUGAGAAAUUGUGGCAACUUAUUAGCUAGAUUGAGGGGUGAGGGAUGAGCAAUUCUUGCUUUGGAUUAAUUUAAUGUUUGAUUAGAUGUGGACUGUGUGGAGUGUGUAUUAUCAGUGAUGAUAAUAUAAUGAAGUUCAAUUUCUUGUAGUCUUGCAGUUGUAUUGUGAGUGAUGAUAAUAAUAACAAUAAUAAUAAUGUUUGUUUGUUCUAUUGACUUGGAUAAAUUGAGACAAUAUUUUGAUUUGGAUAUGAUUACUUUAUUAGUACAUUGAUUCCUUUCCAAAUUUCUUUGGAAAUGAUUUCUAGCAUUCUAUUCUGGAUUAUUUUAGCUAGCAUGACCAUUUUUCCAGUAAAUAUUUAAUAUUUCUUCUGUGAUUUUGUAUGUGCAAAUUGUCAUAACGUGGAUAAAAGACUUAUGCAUUGUGAAAUUUUUAAUACGGGAUUUCGUUCUAUGUAAUAUAUAUUUACAUAAAUUUUUGAGUAACAAUAUCUGCACACAAAAAGUAAAAGUUUAACAUUUCUUAUAAAAUAAUACAUAUAUAUAUAUAUUUCCUUACUUUUUAAGAACUAUGGAAGGUUUGAAAAAAUUGCAGGUUACUACUAAAUAUUUUAAGCUUUCAAGGGGAAAUCAUGAAGAAAAAAUAAAGAUAGCUACUGAGUUUCGUCGACCCUUACCCUGCACCUGAAACAAAAAUCCCAAGAUGAAACAAACAAGACGUCAGUAAAAGUAGUGCUCGACGACUCAAGUAUUUGUCUUGCUGCACACGGUGUGAGUGCUCUACGAGAAGUAUGAAGACCAUGUGGACUCAUUUGGUGAGAAGGCAUUAGUCGAGUUUAAGAAGCAAUGUGCAGUUUUUGACGCCAAGGUGCUCAUUGAGUUCGAAAUGUUUCUCUAGAGAAGCUCUGCCAACAUGAGUUUGUAUUGGCCAAGGCAUCAAAGGCUGGUCUUGGGUAUGAAAUGUACAAGAUUUUAAGUGCCGCAGCAUUGAGUUUAAUGUUGAAUCGGUCUCUGAUCAUUGGGCAAACCAGGCAUAUUGGUUCUUUCUCAAGCCUUUCUUUCCUUUUCUAUUUUUGUUAUUAUUGUCUUCUUAUGGAAGAAGUAAGAAUUUCAGCUUGAAAUCUUAUAGACAGAUUAUGUGAUGCUUUUAUAAAGAUAAAACUUGUUUGAAUAUAUAGUGAUUAAACAUGUACAAAUGCUAGUUCUUGCAUGGCUUCAAACCCGAGAGAGUAUUUCUUGGCAUUUUUCUUUGUUUUAAUAGUUAGAUUUGGAUUUUUAUUUUUUGGUGUAUUAAUAAAUGUUUAUAUCGUUUAUCUGAUAUUGUAUUAUUUUUCAUUAA